AGGCCUAAUACAUGCAAGUCGAACGGUAACAGGGCAGAACUUCGGUUCAGCCGCUGACGAGUGGCGCACGGGUGAGUAACGCGUACAUAACCUGCCUUCAAGAGAGGGAUAGCCCUGGGAAACCGGGAUUAAUACCUCAUAGUAUUGCUAAGUCGCAUGGCUGUGCAAUUAAAGUUUCGGCGCUUGAAGAUGGAUGUGCGUGCCAUUAGCUAGUUGGUAAGGUAACGGCUUACCAAGGCAACGAUGGCUAGGGGGCGUGAGAGCGUGACCCCCCACACGGGUACUGAGACACGGACCCGACUCCUACGGGAGGCAGCAGUAAGGAAUAUUGGACAAUGGAGGCAACUCUGAUCCAGCCAUCCCGCGUGCAGGAUGACUGCCCUAUGGGUUGUAAACUGCUUUUAUUUGGGAAGAAACCUGUUCAUUUACUGAACAGUUGACGGUACCUUAUGAAUAAGCACCGGCUAACUCCGUGCCAGCAGCCGCGGUAAUACGGAGGGUGCAAGCGUUAUCCGGAAUCACUGGGUUUAAAGGGAGCGUAGGCGGCAUGAUAAGUCAGAGGUGAAAGGCUGUAGCUUAACUAUGGAAUUGCCUUUGAUACUGUUGUGCUUGAAUCGAGUUGAGGUCAGCAGAAUGUGACAUGUAGCGGUGAAAUGCAUAGAUAUGUCAUAGAAUACCAAUUGUGGAGACAGCUGGCUGGACUUGUAUUGACGCUGAGGCUCGAAAGCGUGGGGAGCAAACCGGAUUAGAUACCCUGGUAGUCCACGCCCUAAACGAUGGUUUACUCGAUGUUGGCUUUUAAAGUCAGCGUCCCAAGGGAAACCAAAUUAAGUAACCACCUGGGG
Molecule: ribosomal RNA, 845 nt
Filed under: uncultured organism
Description: bacterial SSU rRNA
Rfam family: Bacterial small subunit ribosomal RNA
Source: RNAcentral